Molecule: transfer RNA, 74 nt
Filed under: Dethiobacter alkaliphilus AHT 1
Lineage: Bacteria; Bacillati; Bacillota; Dethiobacteria; Dethiobacterales; Dethiobacteraceae
Rfam family: tRNA
About the family: Transfer RNA (tRNA) molecules are approximately 80 nucleotides in length.
Source: Rfam by way of RNAcentral
CGGGGCGUAGCGCAGUUUGGUAGCGCACUUGGUUUGGGACCAAGGGGCCGCAGGUUCGAAUCCUGUCGCCCCGA